This 351-nucleotide ribosomal RNA is filed under the name uncultured bacterium. Its description in RNAcentral is "bacterial SSU rRNA". It matches the Rfam family "Bacterial small subunit ribosomal RNA", at positions 917 to 1267 of the family's 1533-position model. The record is from RNAcentral.
GGGCCCGCACAAGCGGAGGAGCAUGUGGUUUAAUUCGAUGAUACGCGAGGAACCUUACCUGGGCUUAAAUGUCAGAUGCAAUCUUGGGAAACCAGGAGUCUCUUCGGAGCAUUUGGCAAGGUGCUGCAUGGCUGUCGUCAGCUCGUGCCGUGAGGUGUUGGUUAAGUCCCGCAACGAGCGCAACCCCUAUCAUUAGUUGCCAUCAGGUAAAGCUGGGGACUCUAAUGAAACUGCCUACGUAAGUAGAGAGGAAGGCGGGGCACGACGUCAAGUCAUCAUGGCCCUUACGCCCAGGGCUACACACGUGCUACAAUGGUAAAGUACAAUGAGAUGCCACUUGGUAACAAGGCG